GGACUACAAGGGUAUCUAAUCCUGUUUGAUCCCCGCACUUUCGGGUCUGAGUGUCAGUGUGUAGCCAGAUAGCCGCCUUCGCCUCCGGUAUUCCUCUUGAUAUCUACGUAUUUCACCACUACACCAAGAAUUCUACUAUCCUCUCUACCACUCAAGCUACGCAGUAUCAAAUGCACUUCUAGGGUUGAGCCCUAGGCUUUCACACCUGACUUACAUAGCCACCUGCACCCGCUUUACGCCCAAUGAUUCCGAACAACGCUAGGAUCCCUCGUCUUACCGCGGCUGCUGGCAC
Molecule: ribosomal RNA, 292 nt
Filed under: uncultured bacterium
Lineage: Bacteria
Description: partial 16S ribosomal RNA
Source: RNAcentral